UGUGCUGUGUUAGCUCCGCCUGCAGAGGGGGUUUUCUUUCUUCUGGUCUCACUUCCCCUCCCUCGGGAACGUGGUGGAGCUGCCAUUUUGAGGAAUAUUGAGAAAUAAGGAAGAAAUAUUGAGGAAUAAGGAAGAAAGAAGGUCUUUUUCACACGAGAGUUAGGGGUAAACUAUAAGGUGGAACCCAACAAAAUGUUUCAUCGGGAUGACUCAAGAGAUUUCCCUGUUCUUGCUGAAGCAGAUAGCCAGAGCCAGCAGCAUGAUAGAUCCCAGCCAGAUAGAUCCCAAAGAGGAUGCAGGCAGCUGACUUCGGCAUGGAAAGAAAUAGCUGAAACCAGGGCAAUGGAAGCUUACAGAUUUACAAGCCGUGCCCCACCUACCAGCACACACUCUGCUGGUGAACGUCCCUUGGGGCUGUUUCUAAUUCAUGCAGUGACAGAGAGUGGAAAGGCUGUGCAACUGCUGGCUGGGCUUGACAACCAUCGGUUGCAGCGUGAACCACCUCGAUGUUGGGUCAGGGACUGUACCGAGCAGGCCUGCUCAACAAAUCAUGCUUCUGGAAGGCAUCUGUCGCAACAGAAUUUCCCAGCUGAGGAAGAUUGCUUGAGCUCCUUGAUAAGAGAGGAAUUUUUUUCAAUGGAUGAAGGCUGUGAUGACUCUGGGACAGCCAGCACCCAGGCAGAUGUUACCGGUGAUGAUGCUAUCACAAGUUUUGCAAAGGAGUAUUCACUAGUUCCCUUAAAUAAGCAAAAGGGAUAUUCUGCUCAGAAUUUUGACCAGCAAGUAGAAAGCUAUUUUGAAGGGAUCUGAGCUUCAGCACAUCUGUUUGUAAUUUGGGAUCCGAAUCUGUUGGAGAUGCAAAUGCCAGUCUUCAUGUACACAGUUUAUAGCAACAUAGACUAAACCCUGCAUUAAAACCAUGAAGGUUCAAAUAGGGUAAAGCCCAGUAUAUUUCUCUUAGAUUGGCAACCAGCUAAAAAGACAAAAACUGGAACGGAAAUAGAUCCCUCAUAUGAGUUGCUGCCUUCUUGGGGAGUUUAGAAACCUGUAAUAAUCAUAAGGCAUUAAAAAUGGGAAAAUGACUUUGAGUCUAAGCUAAUGUAAUGACUAUUUCUUUUGCAAUUGUGAGGGAAAUACCAAGAAAUAUGGUUGUAUUUUGUCUCUUUCUCAGCAGUAGAGUCUCAUUUUAAUAAGUUCUUGAAGAAUAUUUGAAAUUCAAAGCCCUUGUAUAUGCCAGUAUUUCCUUUCACUAAGUGCUUUAAUUUACUCUAUAGAGGCCUAGAGGGUUUAGUGUUUGUGUUUUUUUUGUGUUUUUUUUUUUAUUUUUAUUGAUCUACAUCUUAAAAAUUCUAAUCCAAUGCAUAUAUUUUGUUAUUGUACAUAGCUGUUUAUAGAUGAAUAAUGUGAAACAAUAGGGCACAUCCUACUUAAAAAUGGGGGGGGAGUAACAAAAAACAGACCCACUAGCUGGGGUUAAUUGUUCAUGUGAAAUGAAUAAUAUCCUUGUAAUAAACAUUUAUUUUUCUGUUGUGUUCGUGAGAUAGUGUGUAGCUGAACACAAGUGAAGAUCUAGGGACCUAGGUUUCUCAGUUUAGAACUCUUGUCUUUAGUCAAUGGGUGGACUUCUAGAAAUGCAGCCUAGCCUAGCAGUAAAGCUACAAUGUGUGGUUACUGGAAGGUGGGUACCUGACUGGUGAUUUGUCAUGUUAGUUGGAAAUUUUUCCUGUUGGCAGAGCUUGGUUAUGUCUCAGAGUUGGUGCUCUUUAUGAUAUAGUGGAGAUAAUUGAAAACUAGAUCUUUGAAGCAAGACUUUUUUGGUACUGCUUUUCUUUCUCUACCUUGCUAGGUGGAGGAUUAUGUAGCUUUUUUAUUACUGCUUACUGGAUUUGGAUAGCUUCUGCUACAACUAUCUCUUUAAUGAUGUUAAAUGCUUGCACUGUAUUGCUUCUUGUGUGGUUAAACUUCUGCAAAUUAAGUGUACCUCUUCUGCUUUGGAUAAUAGGAGCAGCAAUAAGGUGGUGGCUGUCCACCUGAUGCUACUUACAUCCUAAUCCAACAUACCAAACAACCCACUAUGCCUAACCUGUAGGGAAGGCUUGUUGACUUCAUUUAACCUGCACUGAGCUUAAAAUUAAACUUGUGUUUAAAAUUA
Long non-coding RNA from Cygnus olor (mute swan), 2152 nucleotides. RefSeq lists it as uncharacterized. The record is from RefSeq and is a predicted model, not a curated record. The transcript is spliced from 3 exons. Lineage: Eukaryota; Metazoa; Chordata; Aves; Anseriformes; Anatidae.